UUCUUGGUCAUUUAGAGGAAGUAAAAGUCGUAACAAGGUUUCCGUAGGUGAACCUGCGGAAGGAUCAUUAAAGAAAUUUAAUAAUUUUGAAAAUGGAUUUUUUUGUUUUGGCAAGAGCAUGAGAGCUUUUACUGGGCAAGAAGACAAGAGAUGGAGAGUCCAGCCGGGCCUGCGCUUAAAUGCGCGGUCGUGCUAGGCUUGUAAGUUUCUUUCUUGCUAUUCCAAACGGUGAGAGAUUUCUGUGCUUUUGUUAUAGGACAAUUAAAACCGUUUCAAUACAACACACUGUGGAGUUUUCAUAUCUUUGCAACUUUUUCUUUGGGCAUUCGAGCAAUCGGGGCCCAGAGGUAACAAACACAAACAAUUUUAUCUAUUCAUUAAAUUUUUGUCAAAAACAAGAAUUUUCGUAACUGGAAAUUUUAAAAUAUUAAAAACUUUCAACAACGGAUCUCUUGGUUCUCGCAUCGAUGAAGAACGCAGCGAAAUGCGAUACGUAAUGUGAAUUGCAGAAUUCCGUGAAUCAUCGAAUCUUUGAACGCACAUUGCGCCCCUUGGUAUUCCAGGGGGCAUGCCUGUUUGAGCGUCAUUUCCUUCUCAAACAUUCUGUUUGGUAGUGAGUGAUACUCUUUGGAGUUAACUUGAAAUUGCUGGCCUUUUCAUUGGAUGUUUUUUUUCCAAAGAGAGGUUUCUCUGCGUGCUUGAGGUAUAAUGCAAGUACGGUCGUUUUAGGUUUUACCAACUGCGGCUAAUCUUUUUUUAUACUGAGCGUAUUGGAACGUUAUCGAUAAGAAGAGAGCGUCUAGGCGAACAAUGUUCUUAAAGUUUGACCUCAAAUCAGGUAGGAGUACCCGCUGAACUUAAGCAUAUCAAUAAGCGGAGGAA
RNAcentral lists this ribosomal RNA (882 nucleotides) under uncultured fungus. RNAcentral describes it as "eukaryotic LSU rRNA". The stretch from base 433 to 586 matches the Rfam family "5.8S ribosomal RNA". Lineage: Eukaryota; Fungi. The record is from RNAcentral.